Molecule: ribosomal RNA, 473 nt
Filed under: uncultured bacterium
Lineage: Bacteria
Description: bacterial SSU rRNA
Rfam family: Bacterial small subunit ribosomal RNA
Source: RNAcentral
UGGGGAAUCUUGGACAAUGGGACGAAAGCCUGAUCCAGCCAUGCCGCGUGUGUGAAGAAGGUCUUCGGAUUGUAAAGCACUUUAAGUUGGGAGGAAGGGCAGUAACCUAAUACGUUUCUGUCUUGACGUUACCGACAGAAUAAGCACCGGCUAACUCUGUGCCAGCAGCCGCGGUAAUACAGAGGGUGCAAGCGUUAAUCGGAAUUACUGGGCGUAAAGCGCGCGUAGGUGGUUUGUUAAGUUGGAUGUGAAAUCCCCGGGCUCAACCUGGGAACUGCAUUCAAAACUGACAGGCUAGAGUAUGGUAGAGGGUGGUGGAAUUUCCUGUGUAGCGGUGAAAUGCGUAGAUAUAGGAAGGAACACCAGUGGCGAAGGCGACCACCUGGACUGAUACUGACACUGAGGUGCGAAAGCGUGGGGAGCAAACAGGAUUAGAUACCCCCGUAGUCCCUGAGCGGGCUGGCAAGGCGCAU